Molecule: ribosomal RNA, 1126 nt
Filed under: uncultured organism
Description: bacterial SSU rRNA
Rfam family: Bacterial small subunit ribosomal RNA
Source: RNAcentral
CGGGAGGCUGCAGUCGAGAAUCUUCCGCAAUGCGCGAAAGCGUGACGGAGCGACGCCGCGUGGAUGAUGAAGGCCUUCGGGUUGUAAAGUCCACUCUCGUGGGAAGAAACAGGAGAGGUUAACACCCUGCUUCUGCGACGUUACCACGGUCGAAGUGCCGGCUAAACACGUGCCAGCAGCCGCGGUAAUACGUGUGGCGCAAGCGUUGUUCGGAACCACUGGGCAUAAAGAGCGCGUAGGCGGUAGUGUAUGUCGGAUGUGAAAGCCCUUGGCUCAACCAAGGAAUUGCAUUCGAAACUGCAUUACUAGAGUAUGGAAGGGGGGAGUGGAAUUCCUGGUGGAGCGGUGAAAUGCGUAGAUAUCAGGAAGAACACCGGUGGCGAAGGCGACUCUCUGGUCCAUAACUGACGCUGAGGCGCGAAAGCUAGGGGAGCGAACAGGAUUAGAUACCCUGGUAGUCCUAGCUGUAAACGAUGGGCACUAGGUAGUGGGGGUUCCGACACUCUCACUGCUGGAGCAAAUGUAUUAAGUGCCCCGCCUGGGGAGUAUGCUCGCAAGGGUGAAACUCAAAGGAAUUGACGGGGGCUCACACAAGCGGUGGAGCAUGUUGUUUAAUUCGAGGAUACGCGAAGAACCUUACCUGGGCAUGACUUCUCGAUCGUACCUGGUGGAAACAUCAGGGUCAGUUCGGCUGGAUCGAUGACAGGUGCUGCAUGGCUGUCGUCAGCUCGUGUCGUGAGAUGUCGGGUUAAGUCCCAUAACGAGCGAAACCCCUGUCCUUAGUUGCCAGCGAGUAAUGUCGGGGACUCUAAGGAGACUGCCGGUGUUAAACCGUGAGGAAGGUGGGGACGACGUCAAGUCAUCAUGGCCUUUAAGUCCAGGGCUACAAACGUGCUACAAUGGUCGGUACAAUGGGACGCAAUACCGUGAGGUGGAGCAAAUCUCAAAAAACCGGCCCCAGUUCAGAUCGGAGGCUGCAAUUCGCCUCCGUGAAGUUGGAAUCGCUAGUAACCGCGUAUCAGCCAUGACGCGGUGAAUGUGUUCCUGAGCAUUGUACACACCGCCCGUCAAGCCAUCUAAGCAGGGCACGCCCGAAAUUGCUGACCCAACCCGCAAGGGAGGGAGG